GUGUGUCUGUUGAAUAAUCAGCUUUCUCUAUAUAUAGUAGGGGAGUUUUACCCUAAGUACAGUUCUAAGAAAGGUAAAAAAAUUUCUUUUCGCUAAUCACUGAUCUGCUACCGAUAUGGGUCGAGAUUCACGCUGUGAUAUCCGGUUGGGCACGGAUAUCAAGUCUCUUUGUUAAUCAUGCGCGGUCAUUUGGUAAUGCUUUCCGAGGUCUUGGAACUCGAACCGGAUCCGGGGGGCGUGGUCUCGAUGACUCUGAGGGCAGGUGUUUUGUUCGGGCCUUGAUACGAGAUGCUCCUGGCUUCGAUUCUGAUUCCUUAUAGUUACGUCAUUGCUUCGUUUGCCCCACUGAGAAAUUGAGGUGCUUAUUAGCCUCUGUUUUACCGUAUACACUACCUUAAUUACAUAAAAGUAAGUACUUCUAGAGUUAAUUAGUUUGGUCUUUUUAUGUGGUACUUCCUCCGUUUUAUUUUACAUUAAUUGUGUGAAUGUGUUUGUAUGAGCAUGGAGUUUAAGGAGUUUAAGGGGAAAAAAAAGAAACUCAGUAAAAUGAGUAAAUUAACAAAGAGAAGCAACAAAAUUAUGGAGGGCAAGAGAAAAAUAAAGAAUAGAAGCAAAUAAACCAAACGAAAGAUACAAAUUAUGAAACAUAGAGUAGUGACAAGAGGGGGCAAGGACACGAAGCGGUCUUCAGUCUUCUUGAUGCAAGGAAGAGGCAUUGCCUUUAUUGAAAAGAAAGAAAACUACGGUAUGUGAAGUUACAUGUCUAGACACUAUACAACUUGGUGUAACUAACGAUGACAAUAAUGAGAAAUUACAGAGCAGCCAGAGCAACCAUGACUUCGGCAAUCUCCAUUAUUGUUACAGCGCAUUCGAUAGCAUGCUGGUGGGCGCAGCUUGCUUGUCACUAGUUCUAUUAAUGUUGCCGCUUCUUCUGCAAGUACCUCUUCUUCCAUGGCUUCUGCUAAUUCUAUUCUUCGGCACGAUGCAACUGCAAUAGAGUUUUCAUUAACCAUCAAUUUUACACUCGUAAAUUAAUAUAUCUAUGGUAAGGACAUUAAGAAACAUUUAUACACAUAUAGAUUAGUUAAUUGGUAUCACACAAUCUACUAAGAACUUAUUGAAAACAAACCGAGAGAGAACUAACCAAUGGCAAACAAGAGGAGGAGGAGAGUAAAAAGAGCAAGAGGAGUUGACCACUUGGAUGCCAUGUUUCUAGUCUGUGUAAAUGCGCUUAGAGGUCCUCCUCCGGACUUUAUAGUAUAAUAGUUUAUGUAUAAGUUGGAUCAAAGUUGUGUUUUUUUGGGGGGGAGAGGGGGACGGGGGGCGCA
RNAcentral lists this long non-coding RNA (1328 nucleotides) under Nicotiana tabacum (common tobacco). RNAcentral describes it as "long non-coding RNA (NTAB_LNC007979)". Lineage: Eukaryota; Viridiplantae; Streptophyta; Magnoliopsida; Solanales; Solanaceae. The record is from RNAcentral.